AACGAUGAAGCGGUGCUUGCACCGUGGAUUAGUGGCGAACGGGUGAGUAACACGUGAGUAACCUGCCUUCCACUCUGGGAUAAGCGCUGGAAACGGCGUCUAAUACUGGAUAUGACAUNNCCCUGCAUGGGGUGGUGUGGAAAGAUUUAGUUCGGUGGUAGAUGGACUCGCGGCCUAUCAGCUUGUUGGUGGGGUAAUGGCCUACCAAGGCGACGACGGGUAGCCGGCCUGAGAGGGUGACCGGCCACACUGGGACUGAGACACGGCCCAGACUCCUACGGGAGGCAGCAGUGGGGAAUAUUGCACAAUGGGCGAAAGCCUGAUGCAGCGACGCCGCGUGAGGGAUGACGGCCUUCGGGUUGUAAACCUCUUUCAGCCUUGACGAAGCCCCUUUUGGGGGUGACGGUAGGGGCAGAAGAAGCACCGGCUAACUACGUGCCAGCAGCCGCGGUAAUACGUAGGGUGCGAGCGUUGUCCGGAAUUAUUGGGCGUAAAGAGCUUGUAGGCGGCUUGUCGCGUCUGCUGUGAAAGCCCGGGGCUUAACCCCGGGUCUGCAGUGGGUACGGGCAGGCUAGAGUGUGGUAGGGGAGACUGGAAUUCCUGGUGUAGCGGUGGAAUGCGCAGAUAUCAGGAGGAACACCGAUGGCGAANGCAGGUCUCUGGGCCACUACUGACGC
This 677-nucleotide ribosomal RNA is filed under the name Serinicoccus chungangensis. RNAcentral describes it as "bacterial SSU rRNA". It matches the Rfam family "Bacterial small subunit ribosomal RNA", at positions 65 to 746 of the family's 1533-position model. The record is from RNAcentral. Lineage: Bacteria; Bacillati; Actinomycetota; Actinomycetes; Micrococcales; Ornithinimicrobiaceae.